RNAcentral lists this ribosomal RNA (471 nucleotides) under uncultured microorganism. RNAcentral describes it as "bacterial SSU rRNA". It matches the Rfam family "Bacterial small subunit ribosomal RNA", at positions 9 to 524 of the family's 1533-position model. The record is from RNAcentral.
GAGUUUGAUCUUGGCUCAGAACGAACGCUGGCGGCAUGCCUAACACAUGCAAGUCGAACGAACUCUUCGGAGUUAGUGGCGCACGGGUGCGUAACGCGUGGGAAUCUGCCCUUGGGUACGGAAUAACUCAGAGAAAUUUGUGCUAAUACCGUAUAAUGACUUCGGUCCAAAGAUUUAUCGCCCAAGGAUGAGCCCGCGUAAGAUUAGCUAGUUGGUGGGUAAAGGCCUACCAAGGCUACGAUCUUUAGCUGGUCUGAGAGGAUGAUCAGCCACACUGGGACUGAGACACGGCCCAGACUCCUACGGGAGGCAGCAGUGGGGAAUAUUGGACAAUGGGCGAAAGCCUGAUCCAGCAAUGCCGCGUGAGUGAUGAAGGCCUUAGGGUUGUAAAGCUCUUUUACCCGGGAUGAUAAUGACAGUACCGGGAGAAUAAGCCCCGGCUAACUCCGUGCCAGCAGCAGCCGCCGUAAU